CUCCGAGGUGAAUGAUUAAAAGGGAAUCAAGGUGAAAAUCCUGAACAGUCCCGCUGCUGUAUGUUUCACUAAACGCAUAAGCAAAAUGCCAAUAACCACUGGGAUAAUUUCCGGGAAGGUGCUUAUAGCGGAAACGAGUCAGAAGACCUGCCUGUGCAUUUA
This 162-nucleotide non-coding RNA is filed under the name Phocaeicola vulgatus. Lineage: Bacteria; Pseudomonadati; Bacteroidota; Bacteroidia; Bacteroidales; Bacteroidaceae. The record is from RNAcentral.